This 444-nucleotide ribosomal RNA is filed under the name uncultured bacterium. RNAcentral describes it as "bacterial SSU rRNA". It matches the Rfam family "Bacterial small subunit ribosomal RNA", at positions 28 to 478 of the family's 1533-position model. The record is from RNAcentral.
GAUGAACGCUGGCGGCGUGCUUAACACAUGCAAGUCGAACGGGAUCCAUCAGGCUUUGCUUGGUGGUGAGAGUGGCGAACGGGUGAGUAAUGCGUGACCGACCUGCCCCAUACACCGGAAUAGCUCCUGGAAACGGGUGGUAAUGCCGGAUGCUCCGACAUGACGCAUGUCGUGUCGGGAAAGAUUCUAUCGGUAUGGGAUGGGGUCGCGUCCUAUCAGCUUGAUGGCGGGGUAACGGCCCACCAUGGCUUCGACGGGUAGCCGGCCUGAGAGGGCGACCGGCCACAUUGGGACUGAGAUACGGCCCAGACUCCUACGGGAGGCAGCAGUGGGGAAUAUUGCACAAUGGGCGCAAGCCUGAUGCAGCGACGCCGCGUGCGGGAUGACGGCCUUCGGGUUGUAAACCGCUUUUGACUGGGAGCAAGCCCUUCGGGGUGAGUGUAC